AACUUGUCAGAAAACCAUAGAGAGAGUUGGAAACAGCCCUUGGAGCCUGCUCUGGGGCCUCCACCAUAGCACCAAGGCAUCGGCGCCUUUGUCUGCUGGCCUUGAACUCUCGUCCCUCUAGGAUGCUUUCAGCCAGGCCUUGCUGUCCCUUCUGUCCAGGAGGACAUGCGAGCACCAGUAAGCAGAUGUUUGCCCCUUUAGGCGAGAGUGACAUAUGAAAAUCUGAUCUGCAGAACAGCUAAACAAGCAGACUAUUUUUUGUUUUACAAAAUAACCCAGCUACAAGAUUCUUUUAAAUAGUGAGCUACCCCACAGAGAGUGUAAAAUCUGAUUUGCUUUAAAAAAAAAAAAAAGAAAGUGAUGUAAUAGCCAAACUUCCCAGCUAUACCAAGUAGCAAAGAGCAAGAUACUACGGCCACAUGCCCACCCCUGAUCACAGAAGGCUGAGGACACUGGGGGCAGGGGUGUACUUGGAUUUCAAACAGACCUGGCACUUGGUAACAUGUGGUGGGCCCUGUGGUCUGAUGGGCAGGGCCCUGAGCUGGCCCUGCAGAGGGCUGGGCCCUUGCCCUGGGGCCUACAUCUAUGGAUGAUAGAAAUUGGCCCCUGAGGAUGCCAACUACACCUCUACUGUUGGCACAGCUUUGGAUGCCACAAAGGGCCUCUCGGCACAGCCUGCCACCCCCUGCCUGUGGCAUGCAUGUGGGCACCCCUAGAUGGGCCCUUCCACCCCAGUUGAGUUCUGUGAGCCGCUCUAUGGGGCUUACCCAGACUGGGCUGGACCCUUUCGGAGCUGGACAAGUUAACCACUGACUGAGGUGGAGGUGCAGGGGUGGAAAGGGGUGUUGAGGGAGCAAGACAGCUUGUAUGUUGUAAAACAAAACCCAGAACACCCACCUCCCAUCCCUCUGCAGGGCCGCCGAUGGCACUUCUCCACUCUGGAUAAGACUGGGGUACCCUGGAUAGGAACAGGGAGAUGUUCCUACCAGACAGCCUGAAACAUCCUCCAGGCUGGGGGAUAGGAAGUGGUAGGCACCCGUUCAGCAAGAGUUAAUAGAGAGCUGCUCUGGAGUGAAACUUUCCCAGAAGGAGCUCUGCUGGAGGCCUGGACUGACUCCAAGAAGCCAACGGGAUGAGUCUGAGUUCUGCCUGCCCACCUUGGGAGAAAUGGGGGCCGACAUGCCUGGGAUCCCCCUCCCGGCUAAGCUCGUCAGCCAUGGAGGCAGAACUGGGUGCCCUGACUGGAGUCUGUGCCUUGGUUUCCCCACCCGCACACCCUCUGCCUGUACCUGUAGUCCGACUGCUCCGAGAUGGAGUUCUGGAGGUCAGAAGUCGGAAAUCGAUCUCACUGGCCAAGAUGACGUUGUGCGCAGGGCCACGACCCCUCCCUCCGGUGGCUCCAGGGGCGAAUCUGCUUCUCUUGCGGCUUCUGGUGGCUGUAGGCAUUCCUCGGCUUGUGGCCAUGUCACUCCGAUCUCGGCCUCCUCCGUCCUCACAUCCCCUUCUCCUCUCUCCUUUGUCUAAUCUCCGUCUGCCUCUCUCUUAUAAGAACACUUGUGACAGCAUUUAGGGCCCACCCAGGUGGUCCAGGAUGAUCUCCUCGUCUCAAGAUCCUUGACUUCAUCACAUCUGCAAAGACUCUUUUUCCAAAUAAGGGACGUUCAUAGUUUCCAGGGAUUUGACGUGGACAUCUGGGGUGGUGGUGUUCAGCUGGCCACGGUCUUCAUUCUGGCCAUCUCUGUAUCAUCAGACUGUGGUAGACAACGCGUGUGACACCCAGACCCCCUCUUUGAAGAAGGCUCAUUGCCUUCCUCAGCAGGGGCCUCCAGCUGUCAGCUCCCUUAGGGUCUGCCUCAGUGGCACAGAGCCACCUCACCGAGGGCAUGCCCUUCUGGGGCAGCCCGCAUCUGGGGACAUAUUUCAGCCCCAGGAAGGACACUCUGAGGGGCAGCGGUCACUCCAG
Equus asinus (donkey) is the source of this 1963-nucleotide long non-coding RNA. Lineage: Eukaryota; Metazoa; Chordata; Mammalia; Perissodactyla; Equidae. The record is from Ensembl.